AAAGUGAGAGAGUCGGGCUGAGAUUUUGUUAUUUUGAUUGUUGCUUUUGUUUAGCAUGUAGUAGUUAAAGAACUAAGUUUUGGAUCUAUAACGACUUUGAGUUCUGUGAUUACUUUUAAAGUGAGAAUAUAUUUUAUUUGGGUAAUUUGUUUUCCUUUUGAAGGUAACUUUCACUGUACUUGUUGGUUUGUGCCUGUGUUUCAUGUAUUGAAGUUUUUUUAACCCCUCUAUCAAUGCGUUACCUCUUUGAUUUUCACUUGUGCUAACCAAUGUGGUCAUGAUCUGGGAAUAGCUUUUAAUUGCAUCGUUUGUUGAUCCUAAGUCACUAAGCAAUUCCUGUCAUCUGCAUCAUUGCAUGUUACCCUGUAAUAGAGAAGCGAGCGCGAGAGUACCAGUUCAGCAGGUAGUUUUGUAUUCGUUCAUAGAGAUAGAAUCUAUAGCAAAUGAGGGCCAAACCAUGGUACUUUUGCAUUUUUUCUUGAAAGUGCACCUGGCUAUGUGCAUUAUGAAAUGUUUCUUAGUCUUGAUUCUUUGCUCAUAGUGCUUAUUCUUUCUGCGUACCACUUCUAUGGGAAUAUUCUAUGCGUUUUUGGGGUUGUUUUGUCAAGUUGUGAUCAGUGAUCAUAGUCUUAAAGCUUGUACCUGGAGUCUUGGAAUUUUUGCAAGGGAGAAGAUUGUGUUAGUGGUAACUAAUGAUAUUGAAUUGCUUAGUGGAAAAAUGAUCACAAAAAUGUUAUUGGUGCAAGGAUCCAUGUGUUUAAUAAAAAACGAGUACAAAUUAUUCAUUUAACUUAGGGGCAGGCAUCCUAGUUGUAGCAGAAGGUUUAUGGUUUGAUCUGUAUCAUAUUGUGGUCAAUUUCUACUAUACCGGCCUAAAAUACCUCAUUUUCUUCUUCCAACUGGUUUUAUUUGUUUGUGGAUGAAGUAUUGGAGGCCUCCUACUUGUUUAUUGCUUGAUGUGUCGGAAUAGGGUGGGCAUUGCUUUCUGAACUAUCAUACGUUGGGGUUUUUAACUGUGAUUUUGUUUGGUGGUGGUUGAAAAUGAAUAGGACUGGGGCCUCUCACUCCUCCCCUACUCGUUGAAAUUACUGAAUUGCAGAUAAUGAUUGUUUUUUUUUUUGAAAUUAUAUCCCAAAUAAUGUUGAGAUACAAAAGCUGAGUUAUAACACUCGUGUCCUUUUUAACUCCACUGAAGCUGGGAAAAAGCCCCCUAAGCCAUUUGAUGAAAGUAUUCGUUGAGAACCAGAAAUAACAGAUAAUUUUGCUGUCAAUAAGCACAAUAGCCACUAAACUAGUAGCUUAUUGUGGUAAGAGUGGUAGAAUUACAUGAGCAGGGUGGUGGCAGUUAACCCCCUCUCAUGUGCGCCUCGGCUCACGACCCCCUUUUUUUUUUACUCCUAAACGAUGACAUUCUUUGUAUUGAUUUAACCUGAUAGUACAAGUAUAAAUUACGAAAGGUGCAAUCUGCCAUCAUUGUUCUUCUGUACUAGAUCCUUGAUCCAACCUGGGAAGUUUGUUUGCCAUUUUACAUCAUUAACAAUUUUCAAAACAAAUUUUACUAGUCUAUGCUACAAUUUAUUGCUUGUUCUAUAGACAAAAAAAGGAGAAAGGGCACUGGUCAAAAAACUCACUCAAUUCUUGUGUGUCCUCCAGUACAAUAGUAAUAUUGUAGUCAUUGUAUGUAAUGCUGUCGAUUACACUUUUGGCAGUGAGAUUGGAUAUCAAUCUUUCUCCAACCUGCUUCCUUUUACAAUUGAAGAGUUGUUCUAAUUGCCAGGGCCUCUUCUCGUCUUGGUUCUCUUAUCUUUCCGUCGUUAAUUGCCCAGGCCUUCAAAAUGUGUCCCUUCCAGUUCCGAGCUACAAUUCCUUACAAUGCCCGGGUUCACUACUUGAAAAAUAAAAAUUGUUGACUAGCAAGCUCCUAAUAUGAUAUAUCCUGCUAAUAAAUUAUACACGAGGCUGCGGUCGUUAUCCUGAGUCUUAGUCCAAAGACAAAUUCUUAGUAAAAAUUGUAUGAAUUGUAUCAUCACAUCCCUUAUUCGGAUAAAGAAGAUGUAAGCGUCUACACAAAGUAGCGUUGUUUUUCCUAGCAGUACUAACUAGUCCAGCUUUUAAUGAGGUGAAAACGGAGCCAAAUUAUCCGGGCAUUAGGCUGGUCGGGGUCCACUAAUAGGGUCAAACAGGAUUCCUCCUCAGCGGGUGCAGGAUUUUAGGGGCCGAGUUAGUGUGAGUCACCACCAUCCACUGCGAACGCACGUCUAAAACAAAAAAACAAAAGAAAAAGGCCCCAAAUGAAAAGUGGGUCGAGUUUCUUUGAGGCACGGAGUCAAAUGAAAAGUCAAUUAGUAAAUAGUUUAUCGGCUACUUUGCCAUCAUGCUAAAUAAAACACACACACACACACACUAUUAAGCACUUGUGAUGAUUAGUGAUAAUUGAUUUAGUGCACAAACAUAUAUUGUACUAACAACUAAAAAUCUUCAAGCAAUUUUGUUGUAUUUAAUAGUAGUACUAUUAAGUUAAAAACAAAUAAAGAUUCUAAAAUGAAUUCGCCUCCAAUUUCCACUCGUAAUCCAAAAAUCCUGCCAAAACAUGUUUCAUUACUCUUUUUUUUUUUGUCAAUUAUCACCAUGUAUUUUCACUCUUACUACUAUUCUAACCUGUUCUAAGGAAGCGAUCCAACUCUUACUCCUAUUCUAACCUAUUCUAAGAAAGUGAUCCAAUUGGAUCAAAGAGAACCGAUGGGGAUUGAACCAGUAUUGGACUAUACUGGUGCACUACGUACUUAUAUGAAUUUAGAAGAAAUCACAUUAAUAGCAAUGUGAUGGUAGAUAGGAUUUGAAUUCUUAACCUCCCACUCCAUGAAGACGCGGUGAGCAACUAUUUGUAUGUGCUCUUCAUAUAAUAAACCCUUGUUGCGUCCUUCAAUACCAGAGAAAAAAAAAAAAAAAAAAA
Molecule: long non-coding RNA, 2953 nt
Filed under: Coffea arabica (coffee)
Lineage: Eukaryota; Viridiplantae; Streptophyta; Magnoliopsida; Gentianales; Rubiaceae
Description: long non-coding RNA (CARA_LNC008000)
Source: RNAcentral